This 498-nucleotide long non-coding RNA is filed under the name Monodelphis domestica (gray short-tailed opossum). Its description in RNAcentral is "lncRNA (ENSMODG00000036568.1)". Lineage: Eukaryota; Metazoa; Chordata; Mammalia; Didelphimorphia; Didelphidae. The record is from RNAcentral.
GAAAAAUCUAGAAGGCAUCUCCUUCCAUGCUCUUUUAUUAUUUUUUAUGUGACCAUUUAUGUUUAGGAAUCAGAUUGAGGGGAUGCAGAGGCCCAAAUCAACUACUGCAGUAUGGCUGGCAAUCUCAGAGAGAUGACGACCUGCCAAAUUCCCGACACACAGGCGGAUGUCAGGGGCCACUGAACAGACCACACACUUCUGCUCUGCUCCUGGGGAUGCCUUUGAGAAAGAUUUGCUGGGAAGUGAAUGGCUUGAAUGGAGGAGAAAGGUGAACAUCGCACCCUUAAUUUUGCCAUUGAAUUCACCAGGAAAACAAGAAUGACAAGAGCAAAAGCCAGGACAAAGAAGGCCUGGCCUGCUAUUUGUGACUUAAAACAGUAGCAUGAAACUUUCAUCUUCUCGUAAUCUGUAAAUGAAACCAACGGUGAUAGCUUAUGUCUCUUAAACAAAUCUGCAAAGGUACUUACAACAAGAAAUUAGUCAUGUCUUGAGAAUGGG